UGAAAACAGAACAAAAACUAAACAUAACCCUAACAGGUUUGGUUUGAGUCGCUCCUUCAAUGUUAUUGCAAACCAUCAGUGACCAGAUUCAUGCUAAACGUGGGGUUUGUUGAAGAGUGACCCCCCAACGAUCAUCUCACCAGUUGCACUCGCAGCUGUAAUGAACAGAAGCCCAGAACAUGUGGAUAUAUUGACAUUAAGAACAUGCUGACUUUCUCAGACUUUUGUAA
This is a long non-coding RNA of Sinocyclocheilus grahami, 230 nucleotides long. RefSeq lists it as uncharacterized. The transcript is spliced from 3 exons. The record is from RefSeq and is a predicted model, not a curated record. Lineage: Eukaryota; Metazoa; Chordata; Actinopteri; Cypriniformes; Cyprinidae.